Pelobates cultripes (western spadefoot toad) is the source of this 437-nucleotide non-coding RNA. The record is from the annotation of a GenBank genome assembly. Lineage: Eukaryota; Metazoa; Chordata; Amphibia; Anura; Pelobatidae.
AUUCAGCAGUCUGCGUGUGUGUAUAUUCAGCAGUUUGCACUGGUCUAGGGAGUGUGUGUCCUCUGAUCAUGCUCCUAUAAAAUGUAAAUGAAAAGACAUUCAUUUAAGUACCAGUAAAGGGGUGAGCUGUAACAGCCUGGAAUAGGUUAAAGACUUCUAUUGUGUAUGUGUUUCUCUGUUUUUUUUAAAGCGAUUUUUGUGUCGCUAAAGGGUGCUCGUUUUUGUUUUUUUCAAAAUCUGGUCGCCCUGUCCUUAGUGGACAACUGGUUUAUGGGAUUAAUCGUCCCCACACACUAGAAUAAAAUAAUCCCGAUUGGAGCAAUUUAUCCUGGUAAGGGAGGGGGCUAGCUGCAAGGUAAUAGCAAUUGACAGUAUUCUUUUAUUAAUUAAAUUUGCUAGCAUAAUAUUGGAAUAAACAGGUGCCAUCUCAAAUUCUG